Long non-coding RNA from Oncorhynchus tshawytscha (Chinook salmon), 397 nucleotides. The record is from Ensembl. Lineage: Eukaryota; Metazoa; Chordata; Actinopteri; Salmoniformes; Salmonidae.
CGUCAGGUAGCCUAGUGGUUUAGAGGGGCGUCAGGUAGCCUAGUGGUUUAGAGGGGCGUCAGGUAGCCUAGUGGUUAAGAGGGGCGUCAGGUAGCCUAGUGGUUAAGAGGGGCGUCAGGUAGCCUAGUGGUUUAGAGGGGCGUCAGGUAGCCUAGUGGUUAAGAGGGGCGGCAGGUAGCCUAGUGGUUUAGAGCGUUGGGUCAGUAACUGAAAAGGUUGCUGGAUUGAAUCGCCGAGCCGACAAGGUAAAAAUCUGUUGCUCUUCCCCACUGUUCCUCCGGUAGGCCGGUCAUUGUAAAUAAUAAUUUGUCUUGCCUAGUUAAAUGAAAGGUUAAAUAAAUAUUUACUUGUGACAACUUUCAACACUUAACGGGAACUGAUCUGAAAACAAGACCGG